RNAcentral lists this long non-coding RNA (1287 nucleotides) under Diabrotica virgifera virgifera (western corn rootworm). RNAcentral's name for it is "uncharacterized LOC126888146". Lineage: Eukaryota; Metazoa; Arthropoda; Insecta; Coleoptera; Chrysomelidae. The record is from RNAcentral.
CUGGUGACUUUCUUGGAUGUGAAUCUGUCAUUUUAGUUUACUCCUGGGAAAAAAAUAAACCAUAGAAGAUUCUAUGUUGUGACCUAUAAAUAAGAUCCUAGUUAAAGUUAAAAAUUAAAAUAAGAUCAGUAAAAGGAGUAACACGUUAAAUUUAAUUAUUUUGUGGGUUCUAGUUUACUGAAUGGGUAGACGGAUUACGGAUAUGAAAUUUAUACCAAUGAAUUCUGUUUCACUUACUGAUAAUUGUACAAUAAUUUUUUAUUGGGGGCGGGCGUUACUUUUCAUGUAAUUGCAAUUUAAAAUAUGUCUUAUUUUUAAAAAUCGCCGCCAUUUUCCGCCAUUAUAUACCAUGAAACAACAAGAAACGACAGGAAUGACAACCGUUUUAUAAACGCAAGAAGGAGAAUCCUAACAGUGUUGCCAUAGUUAUAUAAAAUAUGUUUUCUUAUGAAAAUUACAAUUUUUCAAUUCUUAAAUAUGUCAUUUUACUUAUUCUGACGCAUUUUUAACACAAAAUGACUGCUUUAUUACAAGGGUCAGGUUAGUUCUGGUUAGGUUUCGUUACGUUAGGUUAGAUUACAUCAAGUUUAUUAAUAUUAUAGUGAUUUAUGAUUAUAUUUUAAUAAAUAAAUUCUGUGGGAUUCCCAGAAUACACUUUCAAGGUUGGAAUGAAAUUUUAUGUAUUUCAUGGUUAUGUACUGUCACUGAUUUCGGGAAACCAUGUUGCCAUGUGAAUGACAAAAGAUAAUUUCACAUGAAAACAUCGAUUUUUGUCCAUUUAAGCGUACCAUUGAUUUGGAAUAUUUAUGCAAACCUCUAAAUUUGGCAACUGUUUUUGAAAAAUUGGUAGAUGCAUGCAUUGACGCAUUUUUUAAACAGUUUAUUGUUAGUUUUUAGUUUGUUAGGUCGGUUGUUUGUGCUGCGCCCUGGAUUUGGGCGUUGUCUGUUGCAUCAUAUACAAAUUUGUGAAAGUGAAGUUAGUUUAUCGGGUUUGGACCGAAGGGUUAGGCCUUCCUCCUUUCAGACCGCCUGCGCCCAAUUGCAAUCUGCCCAGUUUAUCGUUAAAUAAAGGUGAAGUGAGACUAAAUGGUGUGUAGGUGUUACGAAAGUAAAUUUAAGUACAAUUAAGGUGUGGCUUUAAUACCUAUAUUCACAAAGAAAAGGCCUCUUUCGAAGCUAGUAAACUGCAGGCAGAGGAAAUAAAUAUGUUGGUGGCAACUUUUAUUACAUUUAAAGCCACGAAUUUGGCUUUGGACUCUCAAAUUGCAUCGAUCUAUAGCUGUUUUG